CAAAUCUCCAAAAAAAAUUGAAAAGUACAAUGUUGCAGGCGACAAUCUUUGUAAAUAGCAAGAAGAUAUAUUCCCCCACUAUUUCCAUUACAAACCACUUGUUGAAUUUGCACAAUCCUCCAUUACAAACAUAGUCACUAUGGGAGGCUGAGGCUAUUGAUUUAUUGGACUAAAUAAACUUUUUCUGUAAAACGGUCACUGUUAAUAAACUUUUUCUGUAAAGAGGACACUAUUAAUAUCAAUGACAUAAUAUAAAUAAAGCACUGGUGUUUAUUGAACUACAACAGCCAAGAUAGAUAAAGAAAGUGUUCAACUCAGACAUCUUGUAACAUCUCAGAUGCACCAACUCUAUCACGCGGAAUCAGGCGCAGAUC
Molecule: long non-coding RNA, 374 nt
Filed under: Trifolium pratense (red clover)
Lineage: Eukaryota; Viridiplantae; Streptophyta; Magnoliopsida; Fabales; Fabaceae
Description: long non-coding RNA (TPRA_LNC009406)
Source: RNAcentral